This 216-nucleotide ribosomal RNA is filed under the name uncultured bacterium. RNAcentral's name for it is "partial 16S ribosomal RNA". It matches the Rfam family "Bacterial small subunit ribosomal RNA", at positions 125 to 334 of the family's 1533-position model. The record is from RNAcentral.
CCGUAGCCUGGUAGCGGGGGAUAACUAUUGGAAACGAUAGCUAAUACCGCAUAACAGUAGAUAUCGCAUGAUAGCUGCUUGAAAGGUGCAAUUGCAUCACUACCAGAUGGACCUGCGUUGUAUUAGCUAGUUGGUGAGGUAACGGCUCACCAAGGCAACGAUACAUAGCCGACCUGAGAGGGUGAUCGGCCACACUGGGACUAAGACACGGCCCAG